RNAcentral lists this non-coding RNA (31 nucleotides) under Rattus norvegicus (Norway rat). The record is from RNAcentral. Lineage: Eukaryota; Metazoa; Chordata; Mammalia; Rodentia; Muridae.
UCAGCACACUGGUGAUGGCAACAGGACUGUU